AACGAACGCUGGCGGCAUGCCUAAUACAUGCAAGUCGAACGAGAUCUUCGGAUCUAGUGGCGCACGGGUGCGUAACGCGUGGGAAUCUGCCCUUGGGUUCGGAAUAACGUCGGGAAACUGACGCUAAUACCGGAUGAUGACGUAAGUACAAAGAUUUAUCGCCCAGGGAUGAGCCCGCGUAGGAUUAGCUAGUUGGUGGGGUAAAGGCCUACCAAGGCGACGAUCCUUAGCUGGUCUGAGAGGAUGAUCAGCCACACUGGGACUGAGACACGGCCCAGACUCCUACGGGAGGCAGCAGUAGGGAAUAUUGGACAAUGGGGGCAACCCUGAUCCAGCAAUGCCGCGUGAGUGAUGAAGGCCUUAGGGUUGUAAAGCUCUUUUACCAGAGAUGAUAAUGACAGUAUCUGGGGAAUAAGCCCCGGCUAACUCCGUGCCAGCAGCCGCCGUAA
RNAcentral lists this ribosomal RNA (449 nucleotides) under uncultured bacterium. Its description in RNAcentral is "partial 16S ribosomal RNA". It matches the Rfam family "Bacterial small subunit ribosomal RNA", at positions 29 to 523 of the family's 1533-position model. The record is from RNAcentral.